Phyllopteryx taeniolatus (common seadragon) is the source of this 955-nucleotide long non-coding RNA. RefSeq lists it as uncharacterized. The transcript has 2 exons. The record is from RefSeq and is a predicted model, not a curated record. NCBI's taxonomy places the organism in Eukaryota, Metazoa, Chordata, Actinopteri, Syngnathiformes, Syngnathidae.
AUUUAUUUGCUUAGCUUGCAUUAGUAUGAUGGACAAUUUUAGAUGUUUCGCCUUCAAAAAGAAGACUCAGCAUCAUCCAUGGAAGGACGCUUGGACCAAGGACGUGAUCGGAUGUGGUCGGGUCGGGACAGGUGUUGAUCCAAUAUUAUGUGUUGUGUCUUAUUGCUUAGAAUACUAUGUCUGGGGAAAAACCCUCUUAUUAUCAAAUAUUUUGUGUUGUGUCUUAUUACUUAGAAUAAUAUCAAAUAUUAUGUGUUGUGUCUUAUUGCUUAAAAUACUAUGUCUGGGAAAAAACCCUCUUAUUAUCAAAUAUUCUGUGUUGUGUCUUAUUGCUUAGAACAUUAUGAUUGUAAAUCCCUCCUAUUUCAAAUAAAUGCAGGAGCGAGGGGGGGGGAUUGUUUAGAGCGUGUUGAGAGACUGUGAUCUGAACAAUCUCCCAUACGCCCUCCUCAUGAGAAAAAGUAACAAGCGUCUUCAUUCCUUUUGUGUCUAUUAUAAUGUUGGGUAAGAUUAAUCCAACAUAAAUUGGUCCUUCGAGCCGGAUGUCAACACACCCGAAGAUUCCAGUUGUGGAGCCGACAUCCAGUUAAGAGACCGUGGCCACGGCAUUUGAGACCCUUUCCGGGACUGGUCUUCGGACUUCUCAACUGGGAUCUGGAGGUUGACGACAAUCCAAGGAUUGAAGACGACUUUGCAGGAAACCAAGUUGGUUGGACCGGGAGACUGGGUCCUAAUUCGAAGCAUCAAAAAGAAGCACUGGCAUUCACCAAAGUGGGAAGGACCGUAUCAAGUGUUAUUGACAACACCAACAGCCCUAAAAAUAGCAGAAAGAAAUACGUGGGUUCAUUUAACACACUGUAAAAGAGUCAUUUCAGCUGAGUACUCAAAUAAGGAAGGUGAUCUAAAGUCUGAUAACGGAGCGGGAGCAGAUGUGUAGAUUCUGAAAACGCUUGCU